Molecule: ribosomal RNA, 440 nt
Filed under: uncultured bacterium
Lineage: Bacteria
Description: partial 16S ribosomal RNA
Rfam family: Bacterial small subunit ribosomal RNA
Source: RNAcentral
CCUACGGGGAGCUGCAGUGGGGAAUAUUGCACAAUGGGGGAAACCCUGAUGCAGCGACGCCGCGUGAGUGAAGAAGUAAUUCGUUAUGUAAAGCUCUAUCAGCAGGGAAGAAAAUGACGGUACCUGAGUAAGAAGCCCCGGCUAACUACGUGCCAGCAGCCGCGGUAAUACGUAGGGGGCAAGCGUUAUCCGGAUUUACUGGGUGUAAAGGGAGCGUAGACGGCAGUGCAAGUCUGGAGUGAAAGGCGGGGGCUCAACCCCCGGACUGCUCUGGAAACUGUACGGCUGGAGUGCAGGAGAGGUAAGUGGAAUUCCUAGUGUAGCGGUGAAAUGCGUAGAUAUUAGGAGGAACACCAGUGGCGAAGGCGGCUUACUGGACCGCGACUGACGUUGAGGCUCGAAAGCGUGGGGAGCGAACAGGAUUAGAUACCCCCGUAGUC